UACGUAGGGUGCGAGCGUUAAUCGGAAUUACUGGGCGUAAAGCGUGCGCAGGCGGUUUUGCAAGCCAGGUGUGAAAUCCCCGGGCUCAACCUGGGAAUGGCAUUUGGGACUGCAAGGCUGGAGUGCGGCAGAGGAGACUGGAAUUCCUGGUGUAGCAGUGAAAUGCGUAGAUAUCAGGAGGAAUACCGAUGGCGAAGGCAGGUCUCUGGGCUGACACUGACGCUCAUGCACGAAAGCGUGGGGAGCAAACAGG
Molecule: ribosomal RNA, 253 nt
Filed under: uncultured bacterium
Lineage: Bacteria
Description: partial 16S ribosomal RNA
Rfam family: Bacterial small subunit ribosomal RNA
Source: RNAcentral